UACCAUAUUGCUUAAUCGGUAGAGUGUGAGACUCCUAAUCUCAGGGUCCUGGGUUCGAGUCGCAUGUUGGGCAA
Podarcis lilfordi (Lilford's wall lizard) is the source of this 74-nucleotide non-coding RNA. The record is from the annotation of a GenBank genome assembly. Lineage: Eukaryota; Metazoa; Chordata; Lepidosauria; Squamata; Lacertidae.